RNAcentral lists this ribosomal RNA (859 nucleotides) under uncultured bacterium. Its description in RNAcentral is "bacterial SSU rRNA". It matches the Rfam family "Bacterial small subunit ribosomal RNA", at positions 47 to 916 of the family's 1533-position model. The record is from RNAcentral.
CUUAACACAUGCAAGUCGAACGAUGAUGCUGGAGCUUGCUCCAGUUGAUUAGUGGCGAACGGGUGAGUAACACGUGAGCAAUCUGCCCUUGACUCUGGGAUAACUGCGGGAAACUGUAGCUAAUACCGGAUACUUUCACCGGAAGGCAUCUUCUGGUGAUGAAAGAAUUUCGGUCAGGGAUGAGCUCGCGGCCUAUCAGCUUGUUGGUGAGGUAACGGCUCACCAAGGCGACGACGGGUAACCGGCCUGAGAGGGUGACCGGUCACACUGGGACUGAGACACGGCCCAGACUCCUACGGGAGGCAGCAGUGGGGAAUAUUGCACAAUGGGCGCAAGCCUGAUGCAGCAACGCCGCGUGAGGGAUGAAGGCCUUCGGAUUGUAAACCUCUUUCAGUAGGGAAGAAGCGAAAGUGACGGUACCUAAAGAAGAAGCACCGGCUAACUAUGUGCCAGCAGCCGCGGUAAUACAUAGGGUGCAAGCGUUGUCCGGAAUUAUUGGGCGUAAAGAGCUCGUAGGUCGUUUGUCGCGUCGAUUGUGAAAAUCUGAGGCUCAACCUCAGACCUGCAGUCGAUACGGGCAAACUAGAGUGUGGUAGGGGAGACUGGAAUUCCUGGUGUAGCGGUGGAAUGCGCAGAUAUCAGGAGGAACACCAAUGGCGAAGGCAGGUCUCUGGGCCAUAACUGACACUGAGGAGCGAAAGUGCGGGGAGCGAACAGGAUUAGAUACCCUGGUAGUCCGCACCGUAAACGGUGGGCACUAGUUGUGGGAACCUUCCACGGUUUCCGCGACGCAGCUAACGCAUUAAGUGCCCCGCCUGGGGAGUACGAUCGCAAGAUUAAAACUCAAAGGAAUUGACGG